CAAACUUGUCAGAGCGAACACCUUGAGUGUCCCCGGGGAAUCCAGCUUCCUGACGACUCGAAGAUCAGCCUGUGGAUGCUGUGACCAGCGUGUCCCAAACUUCAGGGCACAGAGUCUUGUUCCAGAUUCACUUUUUUACUAUGACAGUAUAACUGUGGACGUCAUACUUUUCUUUACAGCUGAAAUCUCACUUUUUACAUUUUAACUUUU
This is a long non-coding RNA of Phyllostomus discolor (pale spear-nosed bat), 210 nucleotides long. RefSeq lists it as uncharacterized. Lineage: Eukaryota; Metazoa; Chordata; Mammalia; Chiroptera; Phyllostomidae. The record is from RefSeq and is a predicted model, not a curated record. The transcript has 3 exons.